UACGUAGGGGGCGAGCGUUGUCCGGAAUCAUUGGGCGUAAAGCGCGUGUAGGCGGCUCGGUAAGUCUGCUGUGAAAGUCCAGGGCUCAACCCUGGGAUGCCGGUGGAUACUGUCGAGCUCGAGUCCGGAAGAGGCGAGUGGAAUUCCUGGUGUAGCGGUGAAAUGCGCAGAUAUCAGGAGGAACACCAAUGGCGAAGGCAGCUCGCUGGGACGUGACUGACGCUGAGGUGCGAAAGCGUGGGGAGCAAACAGG
This 253-nucleotide ribosomal RNA is filed under the name uncultured bacterium. Its description in RNAcentral is "partial 16S ribosomal RNA". It matches the Rfam family "Bacterial small subunit ribosomal RNA", at positions 524 to 776 of the family's 1533-position model. The record is from RNAcentral.